Molecule: ribosomal RNA, 1164 nt
Filed under: Escherichia sp. ESBL37B15_13_1E
Lineage: Bacteria; Pseudomonadati; Pseudomonadota; Gammaproteobacteria; Enterobacterales; Enterobacteriaceae
Description: bacterial SSU rRNA
Rfam family: Bacterial small subunit ribosomal RNA
Source: RNAcentral
ACAUGCAAGUCGAACGGUAACAGGAAGMAGCUUGCUGCUUCGCUGACGAGUGGCGGACGGGUGAGUAAUGUCUGGGAAACUGCCUGAUGGAGGGGGAUAACUACUGGAAACGGUAGCUAAUACCGCAUAACGUCGCAAGACCAAAGAGGGGGACCUUCGGGCCUCUUGCCAUCGGAUGUGCCCAGAUGGGAUUAGCUAGUAGGUGGGGUAACGGCUCACCUAGGCGACGAUCCCUAGCUGGUCUGAGAGGAUGACCAGCCACACUGGAACUGAGACACGGUCCAGACUCCUACGGGAGGCAGCAGUGGGGAAUAUUGCACAAUGGGCGCAAGCCUGAUGCAGCCAUGCCGCGUGUAUGAAGAAGGCCUUCGGGUUGUAAAGUACUUUCAGCGGGGAGGAAGGGAGUAAAGUUAAUACCUUUGCUCAUUGACGUUACCCGCAGAAGAAGCACCGGCUAACUCCGUGCCAGCAGCCGCGGUAAUACGGAGGGUGCAAGCGUUAAUCGGAAUUACUGGGCGUAAAGCGCACGCAGGCGGUUUGUUAAGUCAGAUGUGAAAUCCCCGGGCUCAACCUGGGAACUGCAUCUGAUACUGGCAAGCUUGAGUCUCGUAGAGGGGGGUAGAAUUCCAGGUGUAGCGGUGAAAUGCGUAGAGAUCUGGAGGAAUACCGGUGGCGAAGGCGGCCCCCUGGACGAAGACUGACGCUCAGGUGCGAAAGCGUGGGGAGCAAACAGGAUUAGAUACCCUGGUAGUCCACGCCGUAAACGAUGUCGACUUGGAGGUUGUGCCCUUGAGGCGUGGCUUCCGGAGCUAACGCGUUAAGUCGACCGCCUGGGGAGUACGGCCGCAAGGUUAAAACUCAAAUGAAUUGACGGGGGCCCGCACAAGCGGUGGAGCAUGUGGUUUAAUUCGAUGCAACGCGAAGAACCUUACCUGGUCUUGACAUCCACAGAACUUUCCAGAGAUGGAUUGGUGCCUUCGGGAACUGUGAGACAGGUGCUGCAUGGCUGUCGUCAGCUCGUGUUGUGAAAUGUUGGGUUAAGUCCCGCAACGAGCGCAACCCUUAUCCUUUGUUGCCAGCGGUCCGGCCGGGAACUCAAAGGAGACUGCCAGUGAUAAACUGGAGGAAAGGUGGGGGAUGACGUCAAGUCAUCAUGGCCCUUAC